UACGAAGGUGGCAAGCGUUGUUCGGAUUUACUGGGCGUACAGGGAGCGUAGGCGGUUGGAUAAGCCCUCCGUGAAAUCUCCAGGCUUAACCUGGAAAGUGCAGAGGGGACUGUUCAGCUAGAGGAUGGGAGAGGAGCGCGGAAUUCCCGGUGUAGCGGUGAAAUGCGUAGAGAUCGGGAGGAGGGCCGGUGGCGAAGGCGGCGCUCUGGAACAUUUCUGACGCUGAGGCUCGAAAGCGUGGGGAGCAAACAGG
This 253-nucleotide ribosomal RNA is filed under the name uncultured bacterium. Its description in RNAcentral is "partial 16S ribosomal RNA". It matches the Rfam family "Bacterial small subunit ribosomal RNA", at positions 524 to 776 of the family's 1533-position model. The record is from RNAcentral.